AUGAGAGCUCUGGUAAGAACAUCUUCUUUGGGAUGCGGCAUCGUAGUUGUCACCACCUGGACUGCUUGUGUCGCAAGAGGUGAUUCGGGAAUCCUGGAUCAUGCAAAAUGGUAUGAUUGACAUGAGAAUCUUUUAAUAAAAAAAUGGUGGGAACAAACCAAGAUUAGAAUUUGAUGGGUUAAGGUAGAGAUGACAAUUCCAAUGCACUACUUAAGAACAUGUAGACUGGGGCUAUGUUUUAUUUUCGAAAAGGUCAAAUGGGUAAUUAAAUUGAGAAUGGCUGGAACGGGUCAAAAGUUGUCUAUCCAACUAAUAUAGUUUUUGUAAUCAGGUUUGAGACUUGAAAAGAACACUAAUGGUUUAUAAACAUAUUUAAAAUUUUUUGACAUAAAGUAUUUUUGGGUCAACCCAGUACACGACAUGUUUGACCAGUACAAAGUUAACUCAUUUUGACCUGUC
This 459-nucleotide long non-coding RNA is filed under the name Helianthus annuus (common sunflower). RNAcentral describes it as "sRNA HanXRQr2_Chr13g0616301". The record is from RNAcentral. Lineage: Eukaryota; Viridiplantae; Streptophyta; Magnoliopsida; Asterales; Asteraceae.